Molecule: ribosomal RNA, 578 nt
Filed under: uncultured bacterium
Lineage: Bacteria
Description: bacterial SSU rRNA
Rfam family: Bacterial small subunit ribosomal RNA
Source: RNAcentral
CCUACGGGAGGCAGCAGUAAGGAAUAUUGGUCAAUGGACGCAAGUCUGAACCAGCCAUGCCGCGUGGAGGAUUAAGGCCCUCUGGGUUGUAAACUCCUUUUAUCUGGGAAGAAAUGCCAUUUUUCUAAAUGGUUUGACGGUACCAGAGGAAUAAGCACCGGCUAACUCCGUGCCAGCAGUCGCGGUAAUACGGAGGGCGCAAGCGUUAUCCGGAUUCACUGGGUUUAAAGGGUGCGUAGGCGGGCAGGUAAGUCCGUGGUGAAAUCUCUGAGCUUAACUCAGAAACUGCCAUGGAUACUAUUUGUCUUGAAUACUGUGGAGGUAAGCGGAAUAUGUCAUGUAGCGGUGAAAUGCUUAGAUAUGACAUGGAACACCAAUUGCGAAGGCAGCUUACUACACAAAUAUUGACGCUGAGGCACGAAAGCGUGGGGAUCAAACAGGAUUAGAUACCCUGGUAGUCCACGCCCUAAACGAUGAUUACUCGACAUCAGCGAUACACUGUUGGUGUCUGAGCGAAAGCAUUAAGUAAUCCACCUGGGAAGUACGUUCGCAAGAAUGAAACUCAAAGGAAUUGACGG